Molecule: ribosomal RNA, 253 nt
Filed under: uncultured bacterium
Lineage: Bacteria
Description: partial 16S ribosomal RNA
Rfam family: Bacterial small subunit ribosomal RNA
Source: RNAcentral
UACGGAGGGGGCAAGCGUUGUUCGGAAUUACUGGGCGUAAAGGGCUCGUAGGCGGCGAACUAAGUCAGACGUGAAAUCCCUCGGCUUAACCGGGGAACUGCGUCUGAUACUGGAUGGCUUGAGAUUGGGAGAGGGAUGCGGAAUUCCAGGUGUAGCGGUGAAAUGCGUAGAUAUCUGGAGGAACACCGGUGGCGAAGGCGACAUCCUGGACCAAUACUGACGCUGAGGAGCGAAAGCCAGGGGAGCAAACGGG